GGAUGAUCAGCCACACUGGGACUGAGACACGCCCCAGACUCCCACGGGAGGCAGCAGUGGGGAAUAUUGCAUAAUGGGCGCAAGCCUGAUGCAGCAAUGCCGCGUGUGUGAAGAAGGCCUGCGGGUUGUAAAGCACUUUUAUUAGGAAAGAAAAACCCAGAGCUAAUACCUCCGGCAUUGACGGUACCUAAAGAAUAAGCACCGGCUAACUCAGUGCCAGCAGCCGCGGUAAUACUGAGGGUGCAAGCGUUAAUCGGAAUUACUGGGCGUAAAGCGAGUGUAGGCGGCUACCUAAGUCGGAUGUGAAAUCCCCGGGCUCAACCUGGGAAUGGCAUUCGAUACUGGGUAGCUAGAGUUUGGUAGAGGUAAGUGGAAUUCCGGGUGUAGCGGUGAAAUGCGUAGAUAUCCGGAGGAACAUCAGUGGCGAAGGCGGCUUACUGGACCAAAACUGACGCUGAGGCUCGAAAGCGUGGGGAGCAAACAGGAUUAGAUACCCUGGUAGUCCACGCCCUAAACGAUGUCAACUAGACGUUGGGUUCAUUAAGGAACUUAGUGUCGUAGCUAACGCGUUAAGUUGACCGCCUGGGGAGUACGGCCGCAAGGUUGAAACUCAAAGGAAUUGACGGGGGCCCGCACAAGCGGUGGAGCAUGUGGUUUAAUUCGAUGCAACGCGAAGAACCUUACCAGCCCUUGACAUCCUGGGAACUUACUAGAGAUAGUUUGGUGCCUUCGGGAAUCCAGUGACAGGUGCUGCAUGGCUGUCGUCAGCUCGUGUCGUGAGAUGUUGGGUUAAGUCCCGCAACGAGCGCAACCCUUAUCCUUAGUUGCCAGCACGUUAUGGUGGGAACUCUAAGGAGACUGCCGGUGAUAAACCGGAGGAAGGUGGGGAUGACGUCGAGUCAUCAUGGCCCUUAUGGGCUGGGCUACACACGUGCUACAAUGGUCGGUACAGAGGGCCGCGAUCCCGCGAGGGGGAGCCAAUCCCAGAAAGCCGAUCUUAGUCCGGAUCGCAGUCUGCAACUCGACUGCGUGAAGUCGGAAUCGCUAGUAAUCGCGAAUCAGCAAUGUCGCGGUGAAUACGUUCCCGGGCCUUGUACACACCGCCCGUCACACCAUGGGAGUGGGUUGCACCAGAAGUAGCUAGCUUAACCUUCGGGAGAGCGGUUACCACGGUGUGAUUCAUGACUGGGGUGGAGUCGAAACAAGGUA
RNAcentral lists this ribosomal RNA (1209 nucleotides) under metagenome. RNAcentral's name for it is "bacterial SSU rRNA". It matches the Rfam family "Bacterial small subunit ribosomal RNA", at positions 298 to 1498 of the family's 1533-position model. The record is from RNAcentral.